Molecule: non-coding RNA, 360 nt
Organism: Dromiciops gliroides (monito del monte)
Lineage: Eukaryota; Metazoa; Chordata; Mammalia; Microbiotheria; Microbiotheriidae
Source: the annotation of a RefSeq genome assembly
AUGUUCCUGGUGAGGAGUCAGGAUGCUGUGGUGUGCCUGGUCAGAAACUUCUACCCCAAGGAACUCCAUGUAUCUCUGGCCUCCCCUAGGUCCUCAGUGUCAGCACAGGCCCUCACUAUGGCUUCCACACCCCAUGGCACCCACAGUGCCAUGCAGAUUGGCAGGGUUGGUGAGAAUGACACAGUGACCUUCACAGUGCAGCACCUUGGGAAAGAGACCCUUGUGUCCUACCAGCCAGCACAGGAACCAGGGCUUGAGCAGGAGAAUCAGGUGUUCCUCAAGCUGUUGGUCUUAAGACUGCUAUUGAUGAAGACCGUGGCUAUCAACAGCCUGUUCACCACCCUGGGUUUUAUUUUAUGA